CUUUUCAGUGAGCCGUUGAGUCCAUAACUCGCACACACUGCAGUAACCAGAUAACGAAAAACAGUGAAAUGGUCCUUCUUCUUCACCUUCCAAGGUUCCCUCUCUACUUGAUUACUUCAUCUCACUCCCUUCAUCUCCGAGCCCUCUCAACUUCCUCCAAAACCACCCUCUUACGCCCACCCAAAGCCACGCUCACCACCUCACAACCCGUGACCGUAACAAACCCUUCCGCAACAGAACUAUCCCUCGAGAAGCUCUUCGUUCCGCCAGGGACCAACGUGUCUCUCGACACCGCGAGAGUGUUGAACGGUUCCAACAUUCUUCUUAGCAAUUACGCCAACGACGCUCUGAUAUCGCAGGCCGAAUUCGUGAAAAGCAGUGUGAAAACCGAAGACUGCCCCUCCGAUGGCCUCCCUGAAUUUGCUCUCGUUGGCCGCUCCAAUGUCGGCAAAUCCUCCCUCCUCAACUCUCUCGUGCGCCGCAAGAAGCUCGCCUUAACUUCCAAGAAACCCGGCAAAACGCAAUGCAUUAACCAUUUUCGGAUUAAUGAUAGCUGGUAUCUGGUUGAUUUGCCUGGAUAUGGGUAUGCAUCUGCACCGCAUGAACUUAGAAUGGACUGGGAAAAAUUCACCAAGGACUAUUUCCUUAACCGUUCAACAUUAGUUUCAGUAUUCCUUCUAAUAGAUGCUAGCAUUCCUGCUAAACAAAUCGAUCUUGACUAUGCCAGUUGGUUGGGUCAGAAUCAGAUCCCAAUGACAAUAAUCUUUACCAAAUGUGACAAGCGGAAGAAAAAAAAAAACGGAGGCAAAAGACCAGAGGAAAAUGUUGAUGAUUUUCAGGACUUGAUUCGAGGUUUCUUCCAAUCAGUGCCUCCAUGGAUCAUGACCAGUAGUGUCACCCAUCAGGGUCGUGAUGAAAUACUUCUCCACAUGGCCCAGCUACGGAACUAUUGGCUUAAGCACUAAUUCUGAGAAAUCUGGCUUCACGAGAACUACUAGUAUGCCCAUCUUGAAUAUAGUGAAUUGCUUAAUGGUAUCUAGCUGGUGAUUUAAAUUCUAAAUUCAUCCCAUGUCUCAGAUACGCGUUUCCAGAUAGACUUGCUCGAUUGUUUACCCCACAAUAUCAUUUUAUCUAUAUAUUCCAUGGUGUGCCUUCUGUGUUGUCUACACAACCUACAAGGCCUAAAGCUAGUGACAUGAAAGCUGGAUAAAGAAAACCAUAUAGAACAAAGCUCGAUAUUGUUCAACACCAUGUCCGCUUGAGGUUCUACUCCCAGCCAACCUGUAUGAUUGUUCUGACGAACUUUCUGUAUUUUUUACAAAUGGUUAUCACCUUAAAAAUGCAAAUGAUAUUUUCAUUCAAAUA
This is an RNA transcript of Vigna radiata var. radiata (mung bean), 1365 nucleotides long. It is a transcript of the gene named GTP-binding protein At2g22870, with no coding region annotated. The record is from RefSeq and is a predicted model, not a curated record. The transcript has 5 exons. NCBI's taxonomy places the organism in Eukaryota, Viridiplantae, Streptophyta, Magnoliopsida, Fabales, Fabaceae.